Molecule: unclassified non-coding RNA, 348 nt
Filed under: soil metagenome
Description: partial contains 5.8S ribosomal RNA, internal transcribed spacer 2, and large subunit ribosomal RNA
Rfam family: 5.8S ribosomal RNA (bases 1-120)
Source: RNAcentral
GAUGAAGAACGCAGUGAAAUGCGAUAAGUAAUGUGAAUUGCAGAAUUCAGUGAAUCAUCGAAUCUUUGAACGCACAUUGCGCCCGCCAGUAUUCUGGCGGGCAUGCCUGUCUGAGCGUCAUUUCAACCCUCAUGCCCCUAGGGCGUGGUGUUGGGGAUCGGCCAAAGCCCGCGAGGGACGGCCGGCCCCUAAAUCUAGUGGCGGACCCGUCGUGGCCUCCUCUGCGAAGUAGUGAUAUUCCGCAUCGGAGAGCGACGAGCCCCUGCCGUUAAACCCCCAACUUUCCAAGGUUGACCUCAGAUCAGGUAGGAAUACCCGCUGAACUUAAGCAUAUCAAUAAGCGGAGGA